ACAGAUAGCCCAUCACUAGGAGCGCACAACACAGAUAGCCCAUCACUAGGAGCGCACAACACAGAUAGCCUAUCACUAGGAGCGCACAACACAGAUAGCCCAUCACUAGGAGCGCAUGACUAUAUCAUUGUCUUGAGUGGGCCAUUUAAAAGACUUGCUAUUUAAACCUUGCAGAGGGCUCUUGGCCAGUGUAGAAGAUCUAUGAGAGACUUAAUGCUACUCAGUCCCAUCUAUUCUAAGGUGUCUCUUGUCUCUAUAACGCUUGUCGCGCUGCCUCUUCAACCGCAAAGUAAAGAAAAUUCAAGAACGCCUGCCCCCAGUUUUUCGAUGUCGGUUACGUCCUUGAAUUCAAACAGCAAA
This is a long non-coding RNA of Nematostella vectensis (starlet sea anemone), 360 nucleotides long. RefSeq lists it as uncharacterized. Lineage: Eukaryota; Metazoa; Cnidaria; Anthozoa; Actiniaria; Edwardsiidae. The transcript is spliced from 2 exons. The record is from RefSeq and is a predicted model, not a curated record.